GAACGCGAAGAACCUUACCUGGGCUUGACAUGUUCCUGAUCUCCCUGGAAACAGGGCUUCCCUUCGGGGUAGGAUCACAGGUGGUGCAUGGCUGUCGUCAGCUCGUGUCGUGAGAUGUUGGGUUAGGUCCCGCAACGAGCGCAACCCUUGUCCUAUGUUGCCAGCACGUAAUGGUGGGGACUCGUAGGAGACUGCCGGGGUCAACUCGGAGGAAGGUGGGGACGACGUCAAGUCAUCAUGCCCCUUAUGUCCAGGGCUGCAAACAUGCUACAAUGGCCAGUACAAAGGGCUGCGAAACCGCGAGGUCGAGCGAAUCCCACAAAGCUGGUCUCAGUUCGGAUCGGAGUCUGCAACUCGACUCCGUGAAGCUGGAGUUGCUAGUAAUCCCGGAUCAGCAACGCCGGGGUGAAUACGUUCCCGGGUCUUGUACACACGC
Molecule: ribosomal RNA, 436 nt
Filed under: uncultured soil bacterium
Lineage: Bacteria
Description: bacterial SSU rRNA
Rfam family: Bacterial small subunit ribosomal RNA
Source: RNAcentral